GAUGAACGCUGGCGGCGUGCCUAAUACAUGCAAGUCGAGCGAACGGGCGAGAAGCUUGCUUCUCUGAUGUUAGCGGCGGACGGGGGGGUAACACGUGGAUAACCUACCUAUAAGACUGGGAUAACUUCGGGAAACCGGAGCUAAUACCGGAUAAUAUUUUGAGCCGCAUGGUUCAAAAGUGAGAGACGGUCUUGCUGUCACUGAUAGAUGGAUCCGCGCUGCAUUAGCUAGUUGGUAAGGUAACGGCUUACCAAGGCAACGAUGCAUAGCCGACCUGAGAGGGUGAUCGGCCACACUGGAACUGAGACACGGUCCAGACUCCUACGGGAGGCAGCAGUAGGGAAUCUUCCGCAAUGGGCGAAAGCCUGACGGAGCAACGCCGCGUGAGUGAUGAAGGUCUUCGGAUCGUAAAACUCUGUUAUUAGGGAAGAACAUAUGUGUAAGUAACUGUGCACAUCUUGACGGUACCUAAUCAGAAAGCCACGGCUAACUACGUG
Molecule: ribosomal RNA, 497 nt
Filed under: uncultured bacterium
Lineage: Bacteria
Description: partial 16S ribosomal RNA
Rfam family: Bacterial small subunit ribosomal RNA
Source: RNAcentral